Molecule: ribosomal RNA, 533 nt
Filed under: Arthroleptis stenodactylus (common squeaker)
Lineage: Eukaryota; Metazoa; Chordata; Amphibia; Anura; Arthroleptidae
Description: partial large subunit ribosomal RNA
Rfam family: Bacterial large subunit ribosomal RNA
Source: RNAcentral
GCCUGCCCAGUGAUCAUUUCAACGGCCACGGUACCCUAACCGUGCGAAGGUAGCACAAUCACUUGUUCUCUAAAUAAGGACCAGUAUGAACGGCACCACGAAGACUAUACUGUCUCCUUUCUGCAAUCAGUGAAACUGAUCUUCCCGUGAAGAAGCGGGAAUUACUAUAUAAGACGAGAAGACCCCAUGAAGCUUCAAAUUAAAUACCAACUGCCACUUACAAUACCACUCCAGUUUACCAGGUCUGACUAUUAAUUUUAGGUUGGGGUGACCACGGAGUAAAAUAGACCCUCCACAAUGAAAGGGACCAACCCCUUAUUCAAGAACAACAAUUCUAAUAAUCAACAUAUUGACAUAACUUGACCCAAAUCUUUGAUCAAUGAACCAAGUUACUCUGGGGAUAACAGCGCAAUCCAUUUCAAGAGCCCGCAUCAACAAAUGGGUUUACGACCUCGAUGUUGGAUCAGGGUAUCCUAGUGGUGCAGCCGCUACUAAAGGUUCGUUUGUUCAACGAUUAAAACCCUACGUGAUCU